UACAACUUUCAGCAACGGAUCUCUUGGCUCUCGCAUCGAUGAAGAACGCAGCGAAUUGCGAUAAGUAAUGUGAAUUGCAGAUUUUCAGUGAAUCAUCGAAUCUUUGAACGCACC
This 114-nucleotide ribosomal RNA is filed under the name Boletus edulis. RNAcentral's name for it is "partial 5.8S ribosomal RNA". It matches the Rfam family "5.8S ribosomal RNA", at positions 1 to 110 of the family's 154-position model. From Rfam's summary of the family: 5.8S ribosomal RNA (5.8S rRNA) is a component of the large subunit of the eukaryotic ribosome. The record is from RNAcentral. Lineage: Eukaryota; Fungi; Basidiomycota; Agaricomycetes; Boletales; Boletaceae.